GCUCCUUUAGCUCAAUCGGUAGAGCGCGUCCUUGGUAAGGACGAGGUUUCAGGUUCGAUUCCUGGGGGGAGCACCA
This 76-nucleotide transfer RNA is filed under the name Pseudomonas sp. Leaf58. RNAcentral's name for it is "tRNA-Thr". It matches the Rfam family "tRNA". From Rfam's summary of the family: Transfer RNA (tRNA) molecules are approximately 80 nucleotides in length. Their secondary structure includes four short double-helical elements and three loops (D, anti-codon, and T loops). The record is from RNAcentral. Lineage: Bacteria; Pseudomonadati; Pseudomonadota; Gammaproteobacteria; Pseudomonadales; Pseudomonadaceae.